CAGCAGCCGCGGGAAAACAGAGGGUGCGAGCGUUAAUCGGAUUUACUGGGCGUAAAGCGUGCGUAGGCGGCUAAUUGAGUCGGAUGUGAAAUCCCCGAGCUUAACUUGGGAAUUGCAUUCGAUACUGGUUAGCUAGAGUGUGGGAGAGGAUGGUAGAAUUCCAGGUGUAGCGGUGAAAUGCGUAGAGAUCUGGAGGAAUACCGAUGGCGAAGGCAGCCAUCUGGCCUAACACUGACGCUGAGGUACGAAAGCAUGGGGAGCAAACAGGAUUAGAUACCCGCGUAGUCCCUGUCUCUUAUAC
RNAcentral lists this ribosomal RNA (301 nucleotides) under uncultured bacterium. Its description in RNAcentral is "partial 16S ribosomal RNA". It matches the Rfam family "Bacterial small subunit ribosomal RNA", at positions 509 to 807 of the family's 1533-position model. The record is from RNAcentral.